RNAcentral lists this ribosomal RNA (865 nucleotides) under Pezicula cinnamomea. RNAcentral's name for it is "eukaryotic LSU rRNA". It matches the Rfam family "Eukaryotic large subunit ribosomal RNA", at positions 73 to 955 of the family's 3401-position model. Lineage: Eukaryota; Fungi; Ascomycota; Leotiomycetes; Helotiales; Dermateaceae. The record is from RNAcentral.
GAUUACCUUAGUAACGGCGAGUGAAGCGGUAACAGCUCAAAUUUGAAAUCUGGGUCUUUUAGGCUCCGAGUUGUAAUUUGUAGAAGAUGCUUUGGGUGCGGCCCCGGUCUAAGUUCCUUGGAACAGGACGUCAUAGAGGGUGAGAAUCCCGUAUGUGAUCGGUGGCUUGCGCCCGUGUAAAGCUCUUUCGACGAGUCGGGUUGUUUGGGAAUGCAGCUCUAAAUGGGUGGUAAAUUUCAUCUAAAGCUAAAUAUUGGCCAGAGACCGAUAGCGCACAAGUAGAGUGAUCGAAAGAUGAAAAGCACUUUGGAAAGAGAGUUAAACAGUACGUGAAAUUGUUGAAAGGGAAGCGCUUGCAACCAGACUUGCGCGGGGUUGAUCAUCCGGGGUUCUCCCCGGUGCACUCGGCCUCGCUCAGGCCAGCAUCGGUUUUGGUGGUUGGAUAAAGGCCUUGGGAAUGUGACUUCUUUCGGGGAGUGUUAUAGCCCUCGGUGCAAUGCAGCCUACCGGGACCGAGGACCGCGCUUCGGCUAGGAUGCUGGCGUAAUGGUUGUAAGCGACCCGUCUUGAAACACGGACCAAGGAGUCUAACAUCUAUGCGAGUGUUUGGGUGUCAAACCCAUACGCGUAAUGAAAGUGAACGGAGGUGAGAACCCUUAAGGGUGCAUCAUCGACCGAUCCUGAUGUCUUCGGAUGGAUUUGAGUAAGAGCAUAGCUGUUGGGACCCGAAAGAUGGUGAACUAUGCCUGAAUAGGGUGAAGCCAGAGGAAACUCUGGUGGAGGCUCGCAGCGGUUCUGACGUGCAAAUCGAUCGUCAAAUUUGGGCAUAGGGGCGAAAGACUAAUCGAACCAUCUAGUAGCUGGG